AUUUGCUUGUGUUGGUUGGUUGGAUCCUUGCUCUGGCAACGACGUCCAUCCAAGCAAGCUUCUUCAGUUGGGUCUCGUGAUACAUGCUAUCUCGAGUGUUGCCUUGGUUUCUUGUGUUGCGUACCUUAUACGAUGGCAAUCGGUAGUCUAAACAUCCCACUUCGCCUUCCGUUGCCCCUUCUUGGGUCGACGUAGGGUGAACCAUGAAGCAAUCUCUGUGUCCCAUUCCGCUCACAUUCAAUUGUGCCUGUGGACUGGUCCAUAGAGUGUUUGCUUGUGCUCUUGGAUGCGGUGCAUGAUAUUUGGGCACGAGGGCUCACGUCCUCUUUCUGUCCAAACAAAAGCUUUCAUCGCUUGNUUGCGAACNANUGCNAGCCCNGUCUCGAGCCUUUUGGCAAGUGCGGUGCUCGCUUC
Molecule: unclassified non-coding RNA, 414 nt
Filed under: Amsinckia vernicosa
Lineage: Eukaryota; Viridiplantae; Streptophyta; Magnoliopsida; Boraginales; Boraginaceae
Description: partial external transcribed spacer
Source: RNAcentral